This 375-nucleotide unclassified non-coding RNA is filed under the name uncultured bacterium. RNAcentral's name for it is "contains 16S-23S intergenic spacer region". The record is from RNAcentral.
UCCGAGUUGACCCCGGCAGUCUCCUGCGAGUCCCCGCCAUUACGCGCUGGCAACACAGGACAAGGGUUGCGCUCGUUGCGGGACUUAACCCAACAUCUCACGACACGAGCUGACGACAGCCAUGCACCACCUGUAUACCGACCACAAGGGGGGCCGUAUCUCUACGGCUUUCCGGUAUAUGUCAAACCCAGGUAAGGUUCUUCGCGUUGCAUCGAAUUAAAGAACAUGCUCCGCUGCUUGUGCGGGCCCCCGUCAAUUCUUUUGAGUUUUAAUCUUGCGACCGUACUCCCCAGGCGGUCAACUUCACGCGUUAGCUACGUUACCAAGCCAAUGAAGGCCCGACAACCAGUUGACAUCGUUUAGGGCGUGGACUAC